This 550-nucleotide ribosomal RNA is filed under the name uncultured bacterium. RNAcentral's name for it is "bacterial SSU rRNA". It matches the Rfam family "Bacterial small subunit ribosomal RNA", at positions 355 to 896 of the family's 1533-position model. The record is from RNAcentral.
UAGGGAAUCUUCGGCAAUGGGGGGAACCCUGACCGAGCAACGCCGCGUGAGUGAAGAAGGUUUUCGGAUCGUAAAGCUCUGUUGUUAAGGAAGAACGAGUGUGAGAAUGGAAAGUUCAUACUGUGACGGUACUUAACCAGAAAGGGACGGCUAACUACGUGCCAGCAGCCGCGGUAAUACGUAGGUCCCGAGCGUUGUCCGGAUUUAUUGGGCGUAAAGCGAGCGCAGGCGGUUAGAAAAGUCUGAAGUGAAAGGCAGUGGCUCAACCAUUGUAGGCUUUGGAAACUGUUUAACUUGAGUGCAGAAGGGGAGAGUGGAAUUCCAUGUGUAGCGGUGAAAUGCGUAGAUAUAUGGAGGAACACCGGUGGCGAAAGCGGCUCUCUGGUCUGUAACUGUCGCUGAGGCUCGAAAGCGUGGGGAGCGAACAGGAUUAGAUACCCUGGUAGUCCACGCCGUAAACGAUGAGUGCUAGGUGUUAGGUCCUUUCCGGGACUUAGUGCCGCAGCUAACGCAUUAAGCACUCCGCCUGGGGAGUACGACCGCAAGGUUG